UACGAGGGGGGCAAGCGUUGUUCGGAAUUAUUGGGCGUAAAGGGCGCGUAGGCGGUGCGGUAAGACUGUGGUGAAAUCUACAGGCUCAACUUGUAGUCUGCAUGAGAAACUGCCGGGCUUGAGUAUGGGAGAGGUGAGUGGAAUUCCUGGUGUAGCGGUGAAAUGCGUAGAUAUCAGGAGGAACACCGGUGGCGAAGGCGGGUCUCUGGGCCGAUACUGACGCUGGAGGAGCGAAAGCGUGGGGAGCGAACAGG
This 254-nucleotide ribosomal RNA is filed under the name uncultured bacterium. Its description in RNAcentral is "partial 16S ribosomal RNA". It matches the Rfam family "Bacterial small subunit ribosomal RNA", at positions 524 to 776 of the family's 1533-position model. The record is from RNAcentral.